CUGCGAGUGAAGCGGGAAAAGCUCAAAUUUAAAAUCUGGCGGUCUUCGGCCGUCCGAGUUGUAAUCUGGAGAAGCGUUUUCCGCGCCGGACCGUGUACAAGUCUCUUGGAACAGAGCGUCAUAGAGGGUGAGAAUCCCGUCUUUGACACGGACUACCGGUGCUAUGUGAUGCGCUCUCGAUGAGUCGAGUUGUUUGGGAAUGCAGCUCAAAAUGGGUGGUAAAUUCCAUCUAAAGCUAAAUAUUGGCGAGAGACCGAUAGCGAACAAGUACCGUGAGGGAAAGAUGAAAAGCACUUUGGAAAGAGAGUUAAACAGUACGUGAAAUUGCUGAAAGGGAAACGAUUGAAGUCAGUCGCGUGUGCUAGAACUCAGCCUUGCUUUUGCUUGGUGCAUUUUCUAGUGUACGGGCCAGCAUCAGUUUUGGCCGCCGGAAAAAGGGCCUUGGGAAUGUGGCACCUUCGGGUGUGUUAUAGCCCUUGGUUGUAUACGGUGGCUGGGACUGAGGAACAUAGCAUGCCUUUACGGCGGGGCUUCGGCCACCUUCAUGCUUUGGAUGCUGGCGUAAUGGCUUUAAACGACCCGUCUUGAAACACGGACCAAGGAGUCUAACAUGCCUG
This 617-nucleotide ribosomal RNA is filed under the name Bjerkandera adusta. Its description in RNAcentral is "partial large subunit ribosomal RNA". It matches the Rfam family "Eukaryotic large subunit ribosomal RNA", at positions 87 to 686 of the family's 3401-position model. The record is from RNAcentral. Lineage: Eukaryota; Fungi; Basidiomycota; Agaricomycetes; Polyporales; Phanerochaetaceae.